GCAAGUCGAACGGAAACAUGUCUAGCUUGCUAGAUGAUGUCGAGUGGCGGACGGGUGAGUAAUACUUAGGAACAUGCCUUUGGGUGGGGGAUACUAUUGGAAACGAUAGCUAAUACCGCAUGAUGUCUACGGACCAAAGGGGGCGCUUGCGCUCCCGCCUAGAGAGUGGCCUAAGCGAGAUUAGCUUGUUGGUGAGGUAAAGGCUCACCAAGGCGACGAUCUCUAGCUGUUCUGAGAGGACGAUC
Molecule: ribosomal RNA, 245 nt
Filed under: uncultured bacterium
Lineage: Bacteria
Description: partial 16S ribosomal RNA
Rfam family: Bacterial small subunit ribosomal RNA
Source: RNAcentral